UGGGCUUCUUGCAAGAUGAAGGUA
RNAcentral lists this microRNA (24 nucleotides) under Gossypium raimondii (Peruvian cotton). Its description in RNAcentral is "gra-miR8758". Lineage: Eukaryota; Viridiplantae; Streptophyta; Magnoliopsida; Malvales; Malvaceae. The record is from miRBase by way of RNAcentral.